AGGUUAAGCUACUAAGGGCGCACGGUGGAUGCCUUGGCACUAGAAGCCUAAGAAGGACGGGACGAACACCGAUAUGCUUCGGGGAGCUGUAAGUACGCUUUGAUCCGGAGAUUUCCGAAUGGGGGAACCCACCAUCUUUAAUAGGAUGGUAUCCAUUUCUGAAUACAUAGGGAAUGGAAGGCAGACCCGGGGAACUGAAACAUCUCAUUACCCGGAGGAAGAGAAAGCAAACGCGAUUUCCUGAGUAGCGGCGAGCGAAACGGAAUCAGCCCAAACCAGAGGGCUUGCCCUCUGGGGUUGUAGGACGUCUCUUUGGAGUUACAAAGGCACGGAUAGACGAAGCGACCUGGAAAGGUCCAUCAGAGAAGGUAACAAUCCUGUAGUCAAAAUCCGCUGCCCUCCGAGACGGAUCCUGAGUACGGCGGGACACGUGAAACCCCGUCGGAAUCUGGGAGGACCAUCUCCCAAGGCUAAAUACUCUCUAGUGACCGAUAGUGAACCAGUACCGUGAGGGAAAGGUGAAAAGCACCCCGGAAGGGGAGUGAAAGAGAACCUGAAACCGUGUGCCUACAACUAGUUGGAGCCCGUUAAUGGGUGACAGCGUGCCUUUUGUAGAAUGAACCGGCGAGUUACGAUCCCGUGCAAGGUUAAGCUGAUAAGGCGGAGCCGCAGCGAAAGCGAGUCUGAAUAGGGCGAAAUAGUACGUGGUCGUAGACCCGAAACCAGGUGAUCUACCCAUGUCCAGGGUGAAGUUCAGGUAACACUGAAUGGAGGCCCGAACCCACGCAUGUUGAAAAAUGCGGGGAUGAGGUGUGGGUAGCGGUGAAAUGCCAAUCGAACCUGGAGAUAGCUGGUUCUCUCCGAAAUAGCUUUAGGGCUAGCCUCGCGGCAAGAAUCUUGGAGGUAGAGCACUGAUUGGACUAGGGGUCCUUACCGGAUUACCGAAUCCAGUCAAACUCCGAAUGCCAACGAUUUAUCCGCGGGAGUCAGACUGCGAGUGAUAAGAUCCGUAGUCGAGAGGGAAACAGCCCAGACCACCAGCUAAGGUCCCAAAGUAUACGUUAAGUGGAAAAGGAUGUGGCGUUGCUUAGACAACCAGGAUGUUGGCUUAGAAGCAGCCAUCAUUUAAAGAGUGCGUAAUAGCUCACUGGUCGAGUGACGCUGCGCCGAAAAUGUACCGGGGCUAAACGUAUCACCGAAGCUGUGGAUUGUCUUACGACAAUGGUAGGAGAGCGUUCUAAGGGCUGUGAAGUCAGACCGAAAGGACUGGUGGAGCGCUUAGAAGUGAGAAUGCCGGUAUGAGUAGCGAAAGACAAGUGAGAAUCUUGUCCGUCGAAAGCCCAAGGUUUCCUGAGGAAGGCUCGUCCGCUCAGGGUUAGUCGGGACCUAAGCCGAGGCCGAAAGGCGUAGGCGAUGGAUAACAGGUUGAUAUUCCUGUACCACCUCCUUUCCGUUUGAACGACGGGGGGACGCAGAAAGAUAGGGUGAGCGCGCUGCUGGAAAUGCGCGUCCAAGCGAUUAGGCUGGUGAAUAGGUAAAUCCGUUCACCG
This is a ribosomal RNA of 1550 nucleotides. It matches the Rfam family "Bacterial large subunit ribosomal RNA", at positions 1 to 1551 of the family's 2925-position model.